CCUGUUUCCAGAGGUGUUGCCGCUGUGGCUGCAGUGUCACAUGUGCAUCAAUAGGUGGCAGAGAGUGGCAAGGCUGUCAUAUGCUCAGUGUUUUGAGCCUGUGAUGAUCACCAAUCCCA
This 119-nucleotide small nucleolar RNA is filed under the name Meriones unguiculatus (Mongolian gerbil). RNAcentral describes it as "Small nucleolar RNA SNORA17 (ENSMUGG00000007501.1)". It matches the Rfam family "Small nucleolar RNA SNORA17". Rfam says of the family: snoRNA ACA 17 belongs to the H/ACA family of snoRNAs and is predicted to guide pseudouridylation of the 28S rRNA at positions U4659 and U4598. It shares the same host gene together with ACA43. NB This family has a high threshold value to exclude a large number of closely related sequences that do not appear to have conserved H and ACA boxes, and may be pseudogenes. Lineage: Eukaryota; Metazoa; Chordata; Mammalia; Rodentia; Muridae. The record is from RNAcentral.